GGGCCCGUAGCGCAGUCAGGAAGCGCGGCGACCCGCAUAAAGGAGCCGUAAGCCUUCUAGGUCGCUGCGAAGAUAGCCGCAGGUCCCGGGUUCAAGUCCCGGCGGGCCCGCCA
This 113-nucleotide transfer RNA is filed under the name Thermofilum pendens. RNAcentral's name for it is "tRNA-OTHER". It matches the Rfam family "tRNA". From Rfam's summary of the family: Transfer RNA (tRNA) molecules are approximately 80 nucleotides in length. Their secondary structure includes four short double-helical elements and three loops (D, anti-codon, and T loops). Lineage: Archaea; Thermoproteati; Thermoproteota; Thermoprotei; Thermofilales; Thermofilaceae. The record is from RNAcentral.